GAUGAACGCUGGCGGCGUGCCUAAUACAUGCAAGUCGAGCGAACAGAUGAGAAGCUUGCUUCUCUGAUGUUAGCGGCGGACGGGUGAGUAACACGUGGGUAACCUACCUAUAAGACUGGGAUAACUCCGGGAAACCGGGGCUAAUACCGGAUAAUAUUUUGAACCGCAUGGUUCAAUAGCGAAAGACGGUUUCGUCUGUCACUUAUAGAUGGACCCGCGCCGUAUUAGCUAGUUGGUAAGGUAACGGCUUACCAAGGCGACGAUACGUAGCCGACCUGAGAGGGUGAUCGGCCACACUGGAACUGAGACACGGUCCAGACUCCUACGGGAGGCAGCAGUAGGGAAUCUUCCGCAAUGGGCGAAAGCCUGACGGAGCAACGCCGCGUGAGUGAUGAAGGUCUUCGGAUCGUAAAACUCUGUUGUUAGGGAAGAACAAAUUUGUUAGUAACUGAACAAAUCUUGACGGUACCUAACCAGAAAGCCACGGCUAACUACGUGCCAGCCGCCGCGGUAA
This 514-nucleotide ribosomal RNA is filed under the name uncultured bacterium. Its description in RNAcentral is "partial 16S ribosomal RNA". It matches the Rfam family "Bacterial small subunit ribosomal RNA", at positions 28 to 523 of the family's 1533-position model. The record is from RNAcentral.